This 250-nucleotide ribosomal RNA is filed under the name uncultured Chroococcidiopsis sp. RNAcentral describes it as "partial 16S ribosomal RNA". It matches the Rfam family "Bacterial small subunit ribosomal RNA", at positions 796 to 1044 of the family's 1533-position model. The record is from RNAcentral. Lineage: Bacteria; Bacillati; Cyanobacteriota; Cyanophyceae; Chroococcidiopsidales; Chroococcidiopsidaceae.
CUAGCUGUAAGCGAUGGAUACUAGGCGUUGAGAGUAUCGACCCUCUCAGUGUCGUAGCUAACGCGUUAAGUAUCCCGCCUGGGGAGUACGCGCGCAAGCGUGAAACUCAAAGGAAUUGACGGGGGCCCGCACAAGCGGUGGAGUAUGUGGUUUAAUUCGAUGCAACGCGAAGAACCUUACCAGGGCUUGACAUGUCCGGAACCCUGCCCAAAGGCGGGGGUGCCUACGGGAACCGGAACACAGGUGGUGC